This 253-nucleotide ribosomal RNA is filed under the name uncultured bacterium. RNAcentral describes it as "partial 16S ribosomal RNA". It matches the Rfam family "Bacterial small subunit ribosomal RNA", at positions 524 to 776 of the family's 1533-position model. The record is from RNAcentral.
UACGGAGGGUGCAAGCGUUAUCCGGAUUUACUGGGUUUAAAGGGUGUGUAGGCGGGCAAUUAAGUCAGCGGUGAAAUCUCCGGGCUCAACCCGGAAACUGCCAUUGAUACUAUCUGUCUUGAAUAUCGUGGAGGUAAGCGGAAUAUGUCAUGUAGCGGUGAAAUGCUUAGAUAUGACAUAGAACACCAAUUGCGAAGGCAGCUUACUACCCGAAUAUUGACACUGAGGCACGAAAGCGUGGGGAUCAAACAGG